This 593-nucleotide ribosomal RNA is filed under the name Staphylococcus aureus. RNAcentral's name for it is "partial 23S ribosomal RNA". It matches the Rfam family "Bacterial large subunit ribosomal RNA", at positions 2310 to 2904 of the family's 2925-position model. The record is from RNAcentral. Lineage: Bacteria; Bacillati; Bacillota; Bacilli; Caryophanales; Staphylococcaceae.
UCAAAGGUUCCCUCAGAAUGGUUGGAAAUCAUUCAUAGAGUGUAAAGGCAUAAGGGAGCUUGACUGCGAGACCUACAAGUCGAGCAGGGUCGAAAGACGGACUUAGUGAUCCGGUGGUUCCGCAUGGAAGGGCCAUCGCUCAACGGAUAAAAGCUACCCCGGGGAUAACAGGCUUAUCUCCCCCAAGAGUUCACAUCGACGGGGAGGUUUGGCACCUCGAUGUCGGCUCAUCGCAUCCUGGGGCUGUAGUCGGUCCCAAGGGUUGGGCUGUUCGCCCAUUAAAGCGGUACGCGAGCUGGGUUCAGAACGUCGUGAGACAGUUCGGUCCCUAUCCGUCGUGGGCGUAGGAAAUUUGAGAGGAGCUGUCCUUAGUACGAGAGGACCGGGAUGGACAUACCUCUGGUGUACCAGUUGUCGUGCCAACGGCAUAGCUGGGUAGCUAUGUGUGGACGGGAUAAGUGCUGAAAGCAUCUAAGCAUGAAGCCCCCCUCAAGAUGAGAUUUCCCAACUUCGGUUAUAAGAUCCCUCAAAGAUGAUGAGGUUAAUAGGUUCGAGGUGGAAGCAUGGUGACAUGUGGAGCUGACGAAUACUAA